This 2034-nucleotide long non-coding RNA is filed under the name Triticum aestivum (bread wheat). RNAcentral's name for it is "long non-coding RNA (TAES_LNC004972)". Lineage: Eukaryota; Viridiplantae; Streptophyta; Magnoliopsida; Poales; Poaceae. The record is from RNAcentral.
GGCGGCUCGGCAGUUCAUCACAGCCGUGCUCGGCGGCCGGCUGAUGCUUGGCCGCUAGCCAUAGGUAGUGACGGACGAGACGGUAAGGCGGCAACUAGCAGCCACGUCGCAGGUCUGCGGCCGGCUACGAGGGGUCUCUUCGCCUCUUCACGACGACAUCGACAAGUCCAUGAUGUCGUCUCAAACGGACCCAGGACAUGGCGGGCUCUUGGUUCCCUUGUUUGUGAACUGGUGAUGCUUGUUUGUACUGUAAGUUGUAGUUGACUAACUGGUGAUGCUUGUUUUAGUUUAUGACUAAAUAUAUACUGCAAUCCUCUGUUUUCCUGCUGAAAAUGCCCUUUUUUCCUGCUCAAAAUGUCCAUGUACUAGCUGCCGCUAAAUGGCUAUUGCCCGCAAUAGCGCCUAUAGCGUUUCGGACUAAGCUGCCGCAAAAUGGAAUUGCCCGUGAUUUAAAACUUUGCUAGCAAGUCAUCCAUUAGAAAUAGAGAUAACACAUGGGCAACAACCAUCCGUGCCUGUUCUUGAUGGAAAAACUGAGGCUCUCGUAUUUCAAACUGACAUGCAUACUCGCUCAAGACCACACACUACAAGUAUAGGUCGGCUGAGAUGCACAUUCGCUGAAGACUGCUUUACCUAAAAACACCAUCUUUCCAGAUGGCUAAGGGGAGCAACAAAAAACUGGCAUGCAUACCCACGGUGCUUACUGACUUUUUUUGAGAAUAGAGUAGGAAACCUACUCAAAACAGAGCAAUACAUUCAGAGAGCAUAAGAUGUCGAAGGCUACUCGGCACGUUCGCAAUCAAAACUUGCUCUCCGGAGCUCCUGGUCAGCGCGGCCAGUCCAUGAGCCAAAGUAUUCCUGCUCCUCUUCACGCACUGAACACUGCAGGCAGAGAAAGCGGCCAUAUAAUUAUUAAUGUCCGUUAUUAGCCCGUAGUUAGGGGAACAAGUGGGCCUCGUUGCUAGUAGUUCAUUCGCAAUCAGUUGAUUAUCCGUCUCAAUGGUCACCCGGCCAUUAAACAUUUCUGCCAUGGAUUGCAAUCCUAUCAGAAUGGCUCGAGCUUCGACCUCCUCAACGCUUCGGCACAGUGGCAAUUUCUUGCAGACUGAUUGAGGGCCGAGCCUUGGUAGUCUCGACCGACUGCGCCAGCCGUGCUUUCUCCUGUCUCUGCUAGAUAGGCUGCGUCCGUGUUGAUCUUAACUGUACAUCGUACUAGCGGGAUCCACUUUUCUUCAGAACGUUCAGAUGCAUGGACAAGAUGUGCAGUAUUCGGAUUUCCGUUCUGGCUGAAGUUUUCUGCAGUCUUUCCACUCGUCCACUCAGCUGAUGCCGCUGCCAUUCUUAAUUCUUCCUCAUAAUUUUUCAGAAAUUGCACUGAACUACUAAUUGUCUCUCUGCCAUUAUUUCGCACGCAGUCCUCCCUGAGAUGCCAGCAUCGCCAGAGUAACAUCAGGAUCCUGGCGCGCGUUCCCUCACUUUUUGUGUCCAACAUUACUUGCAGCCAGUUUUCACCUGUGAACCAGAACUUGUUUUCAGCAGGUAAGCUCCAAUCCUCUCUCAUAGCAGCUCUUAAUGCUCUGCUCUUGGUACACAUAAUCACUGCAUGAUGUUCAUUUUCUAUUCCAUGUCCACAAAUGUUGCAGGUAGCAUCCAACUCAAGGGUUCUCUUCCAUUUGUUCUCUUUUGUUGCUAGGGUGUUUGUAGCUACCCUCCAUUCAAAGAUUCGUAUUUUCCCUGACACCUUGGAUUUCCAGAUUAGGUCCCAUAUGCUCCGAUCAUUUGGGUCCCUGGUCGAGCUAGAGGGGUUUUGAGCUAGUUGUGGAAGUCCCAUUGCUGCAAGUUUGUAGGCGCUUCUGACCGAAAAAUCGCCAUUUCUCUCGUAAUGCCAUGCUAUGCGGUCCUCCAUGUCCGAGGAUGGGAUGUGAAUUUUGCAAAUCUUGGCUGCAUCAAAAGGGUGGAAAAUUUGCCUUAUUAAUUCUUUGUUCCACUCCUUUCUAUCCGUGUGCAUGAGUUGGUUAACCUAUCUGAUCCGAG